Neopsephotus bourkii (Bourke's parrot) is the source of this 632-nucleotide long non-coding RNA. RefSeq lists it as uncharacterized. The transcript has 2 exons. Lineage: Eukaryota; Metazoa; Chordata; Aves; Psittaciformes; Psittacidae. The record is from RefSeq and is a predicted model, not a curated record.
AGCUGCUGUUUGGAUGAGGAGCCUGGCUGCAGCAUGGCAUCAGGGCUGCCGUGCGGUGCAGAAUGGUCCCAUUUUGUGAUGGAGAAACGCAGUAAGCAAACUGCACAGUAUAUAUGAAAGCCGAAGCAGAGAGACAUCUGAUGAGGCUUCAUCGCUGACUCACUGUUUGAUGUUAGGCAGAAGGAGGAAUGUGAUCAGAUACCAUUGUGCAAAGCAUCCACCAGACAACUCUGUCACUCACAGGAGCAGCAGCUCUGAGCGAGAUGGGCUGGCAGCCCUGUUGUCCUGCCCUCAGCUGGCUCCGUGCCUCUCUCAGGCCAUGGGUAACCCCUUGCCAUCGCCACCUGAGCUCUGCAGAGAGAGCAGGGAGACAUCACCUUGGGGAUGCCUUAUACCAUGUGCAGACUCCUGCCGGCAGGGUCAGCCAGCGGUGCGGGAGAGGCUGCAGCCCGCAGGGGUGUGCACGGGUGUGCACGCCUGGAGUUCUUUCUCACGAGAUGGUGCAACCAGCUGGCGGGGAACUGGUUAAACAGCGUGAGCUCCUUGGCUGCCUGGGCUUGGCUGGCGGUGCGAGGCAGGGCAGGAUGUCACCAGGAAGCCGGCAUGUUUUAUUAAACAGAGUAUCAAAGUGG